This 437-nucleotide ribosomal RNA is filed under the name uncultured Oscillospiraceae bacterium. RNAcentral's name for it is "bacterial SSU rRNA". It matches the Rfam family "Bacterial small subunit ribosomal RNA", at positions 341 to 792 of the family's 1533-position model. The record is from RNAcentral. Lineage: Bacteria; Bacillati; Bacillota; Clostridia; Eubacteriales; Oscillospiraceae.
ACGGGAGGCAGCAGUGGGGAAUAUUGGGCAAUGGGGGCAACCCUGACCCAGCAACGCCGCGUGAAGGAAGAAGGCUUUCGGGUUGUAAACUUCUUUUACCAGGGACGAAGAAAGUGACGGUACCUGGAGAAAAAGCCACGGCUAACUACGUGCCAGCAGCCGCGGUAAUACGUAGGGAGCGAGCGUUGUCCGGAUUUACUGGGUGUAAAGGGUGCGUAGGCGGGCUUGCAAGUCAGGCGUGAAAUACCGGGGCUUAACUCCGGGGCUGCGCUUGAAACUGUAAGUCUUGAGUGAAGUAGAGGCAGGCGGAAUUCCCAGUGUAGCGGUGAAAUGCGUAGAUAUUGGGAGGAACACCAGUGGCGAAGGCGGCCUGCUGGGCUUUAACUGACGCUGAGGCACGAAAGUAUGGGGAGCAAACAGGAUUAGAUACCCUGGUA